GAAUGUGAGGGGUAUCUGGCUGUGACAUGUUACCCCAUUGAUCCCCAGGGUUGAUUCAGCUCAUCUGGCUGGCUCGGCAGGUGUCCCCUUCCUCCCUCACUGCUCCAUGUGCGUCCCUCCCGAAGCUGAAGCUGCAUGCUCGGUCAAAGAGGACGACCAUCCCAAAUAGAGGAGGACUGGUCUUGGGUCAAGGGUAUACAAGUAGCUGCGCUCCCCUGCUAGAACUUUCGAGGAAGCUCUCAAGGUCCAAAUAGUGGAAAAUGAAAGUACAGGUUGAUUCAUGUUGGCAGGUUUUGGUAUUUAAAAAAAAAACUAAAAAGCACACAUGGGGGAUAU
Molecule: small nuclear RNA, 336 nt
Filed under: Pongo abelii (Sumatran orangutan)
Lineage: Eukaryota; Metazoa; Chordata; Mammalia; Primates; Hominidae
Rfam family: 7SK RNA (bases 1-285)
About the family: 7SK was discovered as an abundant small nuclear RNA in the mid-70s but a possible function has only recently been suggested. Two independent studies have found that 7SK RNA binds the CDK9/cyclin T complex (known as elongation factor P-TEFb). P-TEFb activates transcription by phosphorylating the C-terminal domain of RNA polymerase II.
Source: RNAcentral